GCCCUCGUAGCUCAGCAGGAUAGAGCGUCGGUUUCCUAAACCGAAGGUCGUGGGUUCGAAUCCCGCCGAGGGUA
Molecule: transfer RNA, 74 nt
Filed under: Planctomycetaceae bacterium
Lineage: Bacteria; Pseudomonadati; Planctomycetota; Planctomycetia; Planctomycetales; Planctomycetaceae
Description: tRNA-Arg
Rfam family: tRNA
About the family: Transfer RNA (tRNA) molecules are approximately 80 nucleotides in length.
Source: RNAcentral